Molecule: non-coding RNA, 1247 nt
Organism: Oryzias latipes (Japanese medaka)
Lineage: Eukaryota; Metazoa; Chordata; Actinopteri; Beloniformes; Adrianichthyidae
Source: RefSeq, a predicted model, not a curated record
AAAUUAAAUCAGAUUAAAUUGAGUUGGAUAGACUGAAAAAAUGAAGUUGAAUAAACUUAAUUCAAUUACGUCUUACCAUUUGCAGUGAUUGGCUAACGUUGGAUCAGUUUUUUCCUUUCAGAGUGCGGUUCCUCUUUGGCUGUGAUCCACACUUGAACCUUAACGUGUUUUCUUCGUUGGCUAGAACUAAGAACUGCACUUCUGAUCCAAACAGCAUCACGUUGGUGUCGGUUGGCCUCGUUUCCAUGUAAACAGAGCUGAAACUAACGAGACGUUCUUAAAACCAGACACACCCAGACAACCUCAGAAAGCUGCACCAACGUCACCAAACUCCAAGAAUGUCUUCACCUGAUGGUCAGGGAGGUUUUGGCCCCGGAACAAGUCCACGUCCAGAGAAUGAUUGUUCCCCUGAUCUCCUCCAGGAUGUCAUCACACAAAUCAAAAAUGUCAUCACGUCUGCAAUCAGUCAAUCAAUGUUCAGAGCGGUUCAAUGCAAACCUCAUGUCGAGCUCCAGCUCUGCAGAAAAGCCCUGCAGGUUCAGUUCUGGAGGUCGCUGGGAUCCAGAGUGAUGGUCUGAGGUUCUCUGCAGUCCAGCACAGAACCGCCAGUCUGUCUUCAAAACAGAUUCAGGACUAAAGGAGAUCAUUUGGGAGAACGCACACUUCUGAUGUCCGCUCAAGCUAAGUCUUUUCACGGAGGAUGAAACCUUCUCGUUAAUGAUGGAGGAUGUGCCCGACGGUGGGAGAAAAGCAGGGAGGAUUCUGGGCUUUCAGAAAAGGAAAAAUAGUCUCAGUCCCAGGCAGCUGUCCUCACAGGUGGACACGGCCGUCUGCAGGUGAGAAAUGGUCAAACCUGUACGGCUCACACAGGUGACCUGCAUGAAAUAUCACCGUGGUGGACGCUCGGUGACCCCGUAGAGAGAAAAAUUUCAUUUUUUUCUACGUUCAUGGUGCGGGCGACAGGUCAUAGAGAACACUUCUACAACACAUGAGGGGGAGUCAGGGGGAGUCAGGGGGACGUAGGUGAUGCAGCCAGAAAACGAGUUAGAGGAGCUGCAAACAAGGAGCAACAGGUUGGAGGUCGGAUGGGAUUCUUGUUUUUAUGGUGUUGUCAAUGAAUGUUGCACUGUGACACCGGGCUCUCCGGGUGAACCUGGGAACCAAAGCAACACGUCCUAACCUCAGUCAUAAAGCUUGGUUCUGAUUAUUCCAGAGUUCUGAUGGGCUUGACUGUAAACAGAAUCUUU